UCAUUUUUCUAAGGCACUUAAGGGUCAUUAGCCUAGCACUGCAGCAAAUGUAUUAUUCAUUUUGCCAUAGCCCAAUUUCUCUGCUAAGACUUUUGCAGCAAAAUGCUACACAGCUCAGCAGAGAGGUGAUUGAUUAAGCAAGAAGGAGCAGAAUUUGGGCAUCCUGAUAAAAUUUUCUCAUAGUCUGCUCUGUUAACAUCCAUCAGUUUUAUUUAGGUAGGAUCGCUUGAAUACUAACUAGCCAAUGCCAUCCAUUGGAGAAAAAUGUGUCAUGAUACCUUUAGGUUAAUGUUACUUGAACACUUUGUUCUUGAAUGAUUUAUACCUGCUGGUGAGUGUCUGUCUCUUCACAAUUUGGGUUUUUUUUUUCGGUUUCACUAGGAUUAUGUUAAUGCUGGCAAUGUCUGUAUAGCGCAGGGAUGACAUGAUCCUCCAUGAGUGAACACAACCGGUAGCAAAGAUGCGUUCUUGGCAGCCUGGCUGAAGAUAUUGCUGCACAUCUUUCAGAAAAGCAAUCACAUUCCCUCAGUCCAGACUGGUUUAGCUGCCUCACUGAAAAACUGUUCCUCUCCGUGGAAGGAGUUUCAGCUGAGUGUGACACCUCAAUUUCUCCCAUUUUCUCUGCUUUGGACUGACGUGCUUUGCUUUAAUUGUAGUCAUUGCUCAUUGAAAGUUAGCUCCCAUGGCAGAUGAGGGCUGAAGAGGUGAUUCAACAGCCCUCUGGCUGUAGAUGCUGGGAAACUAAGAUUCACCCGUGUUUAUGCACCACAACAUGAAGUUCACUAUGAACUUUUCAACUAAUCAAUCAACAUGAAAAGCCAUCACUUUCAUGUCUUCUGUCGUACCAAUGCACAUUAACAGAUUUCAAGGAGGAGCAACAUCAAGACGGAAUGAUAACUACUGCAUGUCACCUGGAAAAACACAUUUUUCACAUUUUUAGCUGAUGGUGGGUAUCAUGAUGAUGCGUGUUAAUUGAUUUAUAAUAGAAAUAGAACUAUGUAAUCUCUAGUAACAUACUAAGUAGUAUGG
RNAcentral lists this long non-coding RNA (1029 nucleotides) under Struthio camelus australis. RNAcentral's name for it is "lncRNA (ENSSCUG00000017062.1)". The record is from RNAcentral. Lineage: Eukaryota; Metazoa; Chordata; Aves; Struthioniformes; Struthionidae.